Molecule: long non-coding RNA, 1326 nt
Organism: Triticum dicoccoides
Lineage: Eukaryota; Viridiplantae; Streptophyta; Magnoliopsida; Poales; Poaceae
Exons: 3
Source: RefSeq, a predicted model, not a curated record
CACAAGUUCCCCUCCUCUGUUCCUUCAACCAAGCGCCACCACCACCACCCCUUGUUUCUCCCCACAACAUGUUGAGGGUUGCUCGGUCGGUGAGCGGCACCAAGUUCCUGUCUCGGCGAGCGGCCACGCCCGGCCAUAAUCGUUGUGGUUGCUGCCUAGCACUAGAUGAGAUGCUGACACCAAGUCGCGGGACAACAGCGAAAAAUCCGCACACUAGGCGAGAUAUGGAUGGAGUAUGUUCCUGCAAGGGUGCUGACGGGUGUUUGUUUCGGAAGAUUCAGCACAAACUAGUACAAGCAAAGACCACGUAAUAUAUACAUCGGAAAAGGGAAAGGAAAAUAUAGAUGAGCGGAGCUGGAUGAUCUUAUAAAUAAACAAUAUAUGUUGAUGCCACAAAGAAUUUACUACUGCUUCCAUCAGUAUGUGUUUUUCCUGCUCUAUUGACAAAAGAUUUCUUGGAAAAGACUGGUUGAAUGGUUAUAGUAGUAAUCUUGGGCCCAAUACACAUUCUGCAGUGAGGAUGACACGGCAAAGAAGUCUAAGUCAGCUGAUCUAGAGAUGUAGUGCAACUUAUGUGUCAAUCACUUUUAUAUUUUAGUGAAGGAAAAUGGUUGGACCUUGGAUAGAUGACACGUCUGGUAUUGAUUCAACAGUGAUUGCUUGAUAUAGGCAAUGUAUUUGUUCCUGCAAAACAUCAUCUCUUGAAUGUUUUCUUAAUGUUGAAUUCCUCCACUAAUAAUGUAGUGUUGUUGUGGGUGCAUUCCGUUCCGAUGCGUUAUGCCGCCGAAAUUCUAGCCGAAAAUGUAUGAAGGUUGCAAAAACUUUUACAACAACAUAACAUAGCUGAAAACAAUAAGUUUAAUCACUAUGACCCUUCAUUAAGGUUUAUUAAAAGUCCUUCAGUAAUUUUAAAUGUCUAAAUGACACUUUUUUUGCGGGUGUAAAUUAUACUUGUUUUUAGGCAAUGCUUUCACAUUCCAGGAUUUUAUCUAGAUUCAUUACAACUGCAGUUGCCUUCUAACACAAGCUUGUUAAUGUUUCCUUUUUUUUCAUUUGUCAUCUUUUUUUGCGGUCAGAUAUGCGCAAGUAAUCGGACACUAGCUUGGCCUAUCUUGAUGGUACCAAACUGCACUCUAGAACACUAGCUAGCUCUAUUAGGUAUCUCUUUGGUGGUAUUAUUACAACAUUUUGUGUCGUCCCUUUGGCUUGUCUUUUUUUUAUCUUUGGUAUUGCUUAAUGAGCUUUCUUUUGUUGCUUUGACGAUGUGGUAGAAUGCCAUGAGAGGUAGUUGCUGUAUAUUGCACGAGGGAAGACGUUGAGCUUCUA